Molecule: long non-coding RNA, 982 nt
Organism: Cucumis melo (muskmelon)
Lineage: Eukaryota; Viridiplantae; Streptophyta; Magnoliopsida; Cucurbitales; Cucurbitaceae
Exons: 2
Source: RefSeq, a predicted model, not a curated record
GAUAAGAAUACGAAAUACAUCAUCUAUCUUAUAUUUAUAGCAUUUCUUUGACUUUAGAGGAUGCAAAUGCAACUUUUUUCCUGUAAUGUUGGUUAGCUUUUAGUUAUCUCAUUUCCUGAGGUGGAUGUGGGAAAUGAUUAAAAAGGAUGAUAGGAGUUAUGGACUUAUGGUUGUGAUGACAUUCCUAUAAGUCUGAUAUUUUUGCUCAUAGAUAACUUUUAAUGAUUACCGAUCACGAUUUCUUUGCAGCUUUGAGUUAUGUGCUUGUUCCAAUGUCACAAUUCUCAAAAAAUGAUGUUGUCACUUUAAUUGGAUUUCUUUGCAGUUUUGAUGUAUGUGCUUGAUCCGGUUGAUUUUGUGUUGAUUUUUUCUUUUGAUUUUGUUGAGAUUAUUAGUGUGGAUUUUGGUUAGGGCCGUCGAGGAGUUCAAGGAAGGGCAUGUGGCGAUGGAGAGGAUAGAGAGGAUUGUUAAUGUUUUGUAUUUGUUAAUUUCUCCUAAUGGUGAACUGUUUUUAAUAAUUGAUUCGAUUUUUGUUAUUUUUUUAUUUAUGGAAAUGUGGGUUUUGUUUCAUUCAUUUGGUUUGUUUCAAAAUAUUUGUGUCAGAAAAGUGGAUGAAGAUCUUAUCAAAGAAUUGAAAUUGUAAAUAAAAGGAGCUGAGAAGCCAUCUAUAUGGGAACUGCUAGGCGUUUGCGUUGUGGUGGAGCAAAAUCAAAGAUUGAUACGAGAAACUCAUACUCACAGCUUGAAUUGGAUGAAGUACGAGUGGAGUGGGCUGAAUUUUUAGCUCGGUACAUAUGAUAGACAUACCUAGAUAUGAUUUUCUUAAUUUUGUAAAUGUGAGCAUGCCCAUAACUUUUUUUUGUGUAAAUGUUUUGUUCAUAGCCAUUAUAUUACAUGAGGCAAUAGAUGCAAGGGGAUAGAAUUUAGUUUUGGUAUACAACACAUGUUUUUUGUUAUAUAAGAUAGCUAUUAUUAUUGUUGA